Molecule: non-coding RNA, 2146 nt
Organism: Malus domestica (apple)
Lineage: Eukaryota; Viridiplantae; Streptophyta; Magnoliopsida; Rosales; Rosaceae
Source: RefSeq, a predicted model, not a curated record
AUAGUGACAAUAAUCCUCAAAUCCUGGAAAUUUUGUAUCUUGUCUGAGUCUCCUCUACUUAUCUAAAUUUCCAAUAUAGAUUUUGAUCUCAGUGUUCUUUACUUCCGAAUGAAUCAAGCCUCCCCAAGUAGUAUUCAAAUUUACGACAUAUUAGUUAACAGUCGACUGCUCUACCACUGAGCUACUGAAGAAGAACAAGUGAAGAGAGAGAGAGAGAGAGAGAGAGAGAGAGAGAGAGAGAGAGAGAGAGAGUCCAUGAUCUGCUUAGAGGAUUGCAAUCUUGGAGGUUAUGAUUUUUGUUUGAAUUGCAUACUUUGAAAUAUCUGAAUUGACUCAUUCAGUAGUUUCCUUGUUAAAUGUUAGUUUACUGUUGAAGUUCAUAACUUUUGAAGGUGGGUGUUUAUUCUGUGGAGCCUAAUGUAAAGUUCAAAGUAUAGAAGGUUGUUGUCAUAGGCUGCGCAACUCAGAAAUCUGUGCAGAAUUAUAUGGUUUGAGUAGUAGUUCUGGAGUUUUUGCUGUAGAUUGAUAAAUGGAAGCAACGUCCUUGCGCCCUUCGAACUAUCCUUUCUAUAACUUGGGAUUUGUAAAUACACAUAGAACCCUUUAUAUGACGAUGUUGAAUCCAGGUCAAGCCAACACUCCAUCCCCAGUUCUCUUGCACACAGAUGAAACUGGCCCGUUUUCAGAGUUUAAGAAGGGUUCUGGUUCAAGUACAGCUUUAAGAAACACUGCUCCCAGAGAAUCAUUUCCGGGUCUACCAAACACAGUUGGCAUAAUUGGAGGGCUAUCUGUCGAUUCUAGUGUUAAAUUUCUGAGAAAACUUGUCAAUUGGAGUUCAAGAGAUGGAGAAAGUUGCCCUCCUUUUGUUCUUUGUUCUGACCAUGUUUCAAAUAAAGAGCUUUUAUCAAUUGAGAGAAGUUCUUUUCCUUCUGUCAGCAGUAAAAGUGAUGGUCCUGAAUUCGAUCCUACUCCAAUUGUGGAGAAUUUGCUGAGUAAGAGGAUUUUUCUUGAAAAAUCGGGAGCUCGUUGCAUUGUAAUGCCUUGUCACAUAUCACAUUCUUGGCAUGAUGAAAUUUCUAAGGGAUGUUCUGUUCCUUUUCUUCAUAUUGGUGAGUGUGUUGUCAAGGAGCUCAAGGAAGCAAAGUUGAAGCCGCUUGAAGCCGGAAGUCCUUUGCGGAUUGGAGUGCUUGCAAGCCAUGCAACUUUGACAGCAGGAUUCUAUCAGGAGAAACUGCAGAGAGAGGGAUUUGAGGUUGUUCUGCCGGAUAAAGUGACCAUGGAAUACUCUGUAAUCCCUGCUAUUGAAGCCUUAAACAGAAAGGACAUAGAGGGGGCACAAAAUCUCUUGAGGAUCGCACUCCAGGUUCUUCUGGCGAGGGUUGUGAAUUCUGUUAUUCUUGCGUCCGAUGAUAUGUUAGGUCUUCUUCACCUGGAUCCUCUUCUUAAGAAAUGCAUUGAUCCUAUGGAUGCCUUGGCUAGGUCAACCACAAGCUGGGCUCAGUCUACUAAAAAAGUCAUUUUGCGAAUUGAAAGUGCCUCAUACGUUUGAAUUUUUUGGCAUCGCUGUAAAAUUAAAAACUACAGAAAUUAGUCUAGCAUCUGUUCCAUCUUUAACACUUCUACAGUUCUACUUUGAGUCAACAUAUCCUUAAUUCUAUUUUCAAGUGGAGGGACACUUGAAUAAAAACUUCUCUCCACUUAUAUUAUGACAUGUGGUGUACUGGGUAAAAUCUCUCCACCCCAGCCCAACCUACCCCAUCCCACAAGGUCACAGCCGACCCCAAAGUUCAAGGCUGGCUCUAUCCCUUGAACUUACAGCAGUGCUAACAGAAUGAAACUACGAGCACGAAAUGCAUAAAAAAAAAAAAAAAAAAAAAAAUCCAAAUGGAAGAAAGAGAGAAUAAAAGGCAAAUUCAAAAUGGUCCCCAACCAUCCCUCCUCAGCCCUCAGAUAGUGGGUCUGAAACAAGGAAGAAAAACAUUUCGAGCAACUUCGUCUUCCCAAACUAAGCCAUUCCACCUCUUUGUGUCUCCUUCGAUGAUGAAAUUGCUUGUUUGAAAAUUUGAAGGGUAUCCAGAUGUUCCAUAUGCGCCAGAGAUGGUUCAAAGAAGAAAAAACUGAAGAAGAAAAAGGAUCCAAAUGCACC